Callithrix jacchus (white-tufted-ear marmoset) is the source of this 288-nucleotide unclassified non-coding RNA. It matches the Rfam family "Metazoan signal recognition particle RNA". Rfam says of the family: The signal recognition particle (SRP) is a universally conserved ribonucleoprotein. It is involved in the co-translational targeting of proteins to membranes. Lineage: Eukaryota; Metazoa; Chordata; Mammalia; Primates; Cebidae. The record is from Ensembl.
GCUAGGCAUGGUGGUGUGUCCUUAUACUCCCAGCUACUUGGGAGGACCAUUGCUUGAGUCCAGGUGCUCUGGAAUAUAGGGCACUAUGCUGAUCCAAUGUUCACACUAAGUUUAGCAUCAAUAUGGUGACUUCCUGGGAGUGGGGAACCACCAGGUUGCUAAAGGAGGAGUGAAACUGCCCAGGUCAGAAACAGAGCAGGUUAAAACUCCCAUGCUGAUCAGAAGUGGGAUUGUGCCUAUGAACAACCACCAUACCAUUGCACUUCAGCCUGGGCAGUUUAGGAAUAC